AACGUAGGAGACAAACGUUAUCCGGAGUUACUGGGCGUAAAGGGCGUGUAGGUGGUAGUGUAAGUCUGGCGUGAAAUUUUUCGGCUUAACCGGGAAAGGUCGUCGGAUACUGCACAACUAGAGGACGGUAGAGGCGUGUGGAAUUCCUGGUGUAGCGGUGAAAUGCGCAGAUAUCAGGAAGAACACCCGUGGCGAAGGCGGCUCUCUGGUACGUGACUGACGCUGAGACGCGAAAGCGUGGGGAGCGAACAGG
RNAcentral lists this ribosomal RNA (253 nucleotides) under uncultured bacterium. RNAcentral's name for it is "partial 16S ribosomal RNA". It matches the Rfam family "Bacterial small subunit ribosomal RNA", at positions 524 to 776 of the family's 1533-position model. The record is from RNAcentral.